This 73-nucleotide transfer RNA is filed under the name Caldanaerobacter subterraneus subsp. tengcongensis MB4. Its description in RNAcentral is "Thermoanaerobacter tengcongensis MB4 tRNA". It matches the Rfam family "tRNA". Rfam says of the family: Transfer RNA (tRNA) molecules are approximately 80 nucleotides in length. Their secondary structure includes four short double-helical elements and three loops (D, anti-codon, and T loops). Lineage: Bacteria; Bacillati; Bacillota; Clostridia; Thermoanaerobacterales; Thermoanaerobacteraceae. RNAcentral also lists the same sequence under 1 other name. The record is from Rfam by way of RNAcentral.
CGGGAUGUAGCGCAGCUGGUAGCGCACGUGCUUUGGGAGCAUGGGGUCGGGGGUUCAAGUCCCCCCAUCCCGA